CUGUGGUGAAGGAGCUGUGGUAGCUGCAGAGCUGGGCGAGGAAAGCGGGCAGCGGCAGAUGAAGGAGCAACCAUGUUCGAUGGAAGGGUGCAGCUUCUGUUCCUGCACUCCUUAGAGCAACCACCAGUCAGUCUGGGUGUCAGCUGCACGUCCACCAGCAGAUGUGAAUUUGCAGUUGAGAAGAACAAAAGACUUUCUUCUGAGUGCAGGUGCCAUGAAUAAAAUGACCAUGGAGGUGGAAUCCUUUAUUAAAAAAAACCAACAACAUUCUGUGCAUCAGCAGAGCUGGACAGACUGCAUACAAGUGUGAAGUGAUGGCUAUAACAGCAGCAUGGGACUCUUGCAAAGGCGUGUGUUACAGCCCCUGGCUUUUCUGCACAUCUGUCUGCUGGGUUUUCAUCUCCAUCUGAAACUCCUCCCUGCAGGACGUUGAGCUGCACGAUGCAGGGAUCCCUUGCUGGUGGUUUCCUGCUGCUCACUUGCACACAGAGGAGUGGGUUCUGUCUCCCAAUGAAGCAGCAGUUUUCCUACAGGCUACAGCACUGCUGCCUUCCCUGCAUCCUUGCCUGUCUUUCAUGUUUUAAAUUUGACACAUUU
Long non-coding RNA from Lagopus muta (rock ptarmigan), 597 nucleotides. RefSeq lists it as uncharacterized. The transcript is spliced from 3 exons. Lineage: Eukaryota; Metazoa; Chordata; Aves; Galliformes; Phasianidae. The record is from RefSeq and is a predicted model, not a curated record.